UGGGGAAUAUUGGACAAUGGGGGGAACCCUGAUCCAGCCAUGCCGCGUGUGUGAAGAAGGCCUUAUGGUUGUAAAGCACUUUAAGCGAGGAGGAGGGUACUGGUAUUAAUACUACCAGCUACUGGACGUUACUCGCAGAAUAAGCACCGGCUAACUCUGUGCCAGCAGCCGCGGUAAUACAGAGGGUGCGAGCGUUAAUCGGAUUUACUGGGCGUAAAGCGUGCGUAGGCGGCUAAUUGAGUCGGAUGUGAAAUCCCCGAGCUUAACUUGGGAAUUGCAUUCGAUACUGGUUAGCUAGAGUGUGGGGGAGGAUGGUAGAAUUCCAGGUGUAGCGGUGAAAUGCGUAGAGAUCUGGAGGAAUACCGAUGGCGAAGGCAGCCAUCUGGCCUAACACUGACGCUGGGGUACGAAAGCAUGGGAGCAAACAGG
Molecule: ribosomal RNA, 429 nt
Filed under: Pseudomonadota bacterium
Lineage: Bacteria; Pseudomonadati; Pseudomonadota
Description: Proteobacteria bacterium partial 16S ribosomal RNA
Rfam family: Bacterial small subunit ribosomal RNA
Source: RNAcentral